RNAcentral lists this transfer RNA (57 nucleotides) under Dipodomys ordii (Ord's kangaroo rat). It matches the Rfam family "tRNA", at positions 8 to 63 of the family's 71-position model. Rfam says of the family: Transfer RNA (tRNA) molecules are approximately 80 nucleotides in length. Their secondary structure includes four short double-helical elements and three loops (D, anti-codon, and T loops). Further hydrogen bonds mediate the characteristic L-shaped molecular structure. tRNAs have two regions of fundamental functional importance: the anti-codon, which is responsible for specific mRNA codon recognition, and the 3' end, to which the tRNAs corresponding amino acid is attached (by aminoacyl-tRNA synthetases). tRNAs cope with the degeneracy of the genetic code in two manners: having more than one tRNA (with a specific anti-codon) for a particular amino acid; and 'wobble' base-pairing, i.e. permitting non-standard base-pairing at the 3rd anti-codon position. The record is from Rfam by way of RNAcentral. Lineage: Eukaryota; Metazoa; Chordata; Mammalia; Rodentia; Heteromyidae.
UGGCUCAGUGGUAGAGUGCUUGCCUUGCAUGCAUGAGGCCCUGGGUUUGAUUCCCCG